AGUUCGUACUGUGAAGCAUCCUGUUAAGUCAGGCAACGAGCGAGACCCACGCCCACAGUUGCCAGCGUACUCUCCGGAGUGACGGGUACACUGUGGGGACCGCCGCUGCUAAAGCGGAGGAAGGAAUGGGCAACGGUAGGUCAGUAUGCCCCGAAUAUCCCGGGCUACACGCGAGCUACAAUGGUUGGUACAAUGGGUAUCUACCCCGAAAGGGGACGGGAAUCUCCUAAAACCAAUCUUAGUUCGGAUUGAGGGCUGCAACUCGCCCUCAUGAAGCUGGAAUCCGUAGUAAUCGCGUUUCAACAGAACGCGGUGAAUACGUCCCUGCUCCUU
RNAcentral lists this ribosomal RNA (333 nucleotides) under uncultured Methanosaeta sp. Its description in RNAcentral is "bacterial SSU rRNA". It matches the Rfam family "Archaeal small subunit ribosomal RNA", at positions 1006 to 1338 of the family's 1478-position model. The record is from RNAcentral. Lineage: Archaea; Methanobacteriati; Methanobacteriota; Methanomicrobia; Methanotrichales; Methanotrichaceae.